GGGUGGUAAUGCCGGAUGUUCCAGUUGAUCGCAUGGUCUUCUGGGAAAGCUUUCGCGGUAUGGGAUGGGGUCGCGUCCUAUCAGCUUGACGGCGGGGUAACGGCCCACCGUGGCUUCGACGGGUAGCCGGCCUGAGAGGGCGACCGGCCACAUUGGGACUGAGAUACGGCCCAGACUCCUACGGGAGGCAGCAGUGGGGAAUAUUGCACAAUGGGCGCAAGCCUGAUGCAGCGACGCCGCGUGAGGGAUGGAGGCCUUCGGGUUGUAAACCUCUUUUAUCGGGGAGCAAGCGUGAGUGAGUUUACCCGUUGAAUAAGCACCGGCUAACUACGUGCCAGCAGCCGCGGUAAUACGUAGGGUGCAAGCGUUAUCCGGAAUUAUUGGGCGUAAAGGGCUCGUAGGCGGUUCGUCGCGUCCGGUGUGAAAGUCCAUCGCUUAACGGUGGAUCCGCGCCGGGUACGGGCGGGCUUGAGUGCGGUAGGGGAGACUGGAAUUCCCGGUGUAACGGUGGAAUGUGUAGAUAU
This 524-nucleotide ribosomal RNA is filed under the name Bifidobacterium longum subsp. infantis. RNAcentral's name for it is "bacterial SSU rRNA". It matches the Rfam family "Bacterial small subunit ribosomal RNA", at positions 158 to 697 of the family's 1533-position model. The record is from RNAcentral. Lineage: Bacteria; Bacillati; Actinomycetota; Actinomycetes; Bifidobacteriales; Bifidobacteriaceae.